AGAGUUUGAUCCUGGCUCAGGAUGAACGCUAGCGGCAGGCCUAAUACAUGCAAGACGGGCGGUAAUUUGAGUAGCAAUACUUGAACUAGAGCGUCGUAAGGGUGCGUAACACGUAUGCAAUCUGCCCGGAACUGGGGUAUAGCUCGGGGAAACUCGGAUUAACCCCCCAUAAGAUAGUAGAGUGGCAUCACUCAGCUAUUAAAACUCUGGUGGUUCCGGAUGAGCAUGCGGAUGAUUAGCUAGUUGGUGGUGUAACGGACCACCAAGGCGAUGAUCAAUAGGGGAACUGAGAGGUUGAUCCCCCACACUGGCACUGGAUACGGGCCAGACUCCUACGGGAGGCAGCAGUAGGGAAUAUUGGACAAUGGGUGCAAGCCUGAUCCAGCCAUGCCGCGUGCAGGAAGAAGGCUUUCUGAGUUGUAAACUGCUUUUGCCAGGGGAUAAAAAGUCCCUGCGGGGAAAAUUGAAGGUACCUGGUGAAUAAGCCACGGCUAACUACGUGCCAGCAGCCGCGGUAAUACGUAGGUGGCAAGCGUUGUCCGGAUUUAUUGGGUUUAAAGGGUGCGUAGGCGGUCUUCUAAGUCAGUUGUGAAAUACUUCAGCUUAACUGGAGAGGUGCAAUUGAUACUGGAAGACUUGAGUACUGAUGAGGUAGGCGGAAUGGACGGUGUAGCGGUGAAAUGCUUAGAUAUCGUCCAGAACACCGAUAGCGAAGGCAGCUCACUAAGGAGUAACUGACGCUGAGGCACGAAAGCGUGGGGAGCGAACCGGAUUAGAUACCCGGGUAGUCCACGCCGUAAACGAUGGAUACUAGCUGUUGGAGGUAUCGACCCCUUCAGUAGCGAAGCUAACGCGUUAAGUAUCCCGCCUGUGGAGUACGGUCGCAAGACUAAAACAUAAAGGAAUUGACGGGGAGCCGCACAAGCGGUGGAUUAUGUUCUUUAAUUCGAUGAUAACCGAUGAACCUUACCAGGGUUUGACAUCCUUGGAAUUUUGCCGAAAGGCGAGAGUGCUUUAUUGAGCCAAGUGACAGAUGAUGCAUGGCCGUCGUCAGCUCGUGUCGUGAGAUGUUUGGUUAAGUCCAUUAACGAGCGCAACCCUUGUGAUUAGUUGUAUUUUUCUAAUCAGACUGCCCUGGCAACGGGGAGGAAGGAGGGGAUGAGGUCAGGUCAGUAUUUCUCUUACACCCUGGGCUAGAAACAUAAUACAAUGGCCAGUACAAUGCGCAGCGAAGCCGCGAGGUGGAGCAAAUCGCAUCAAAGCUGGUCCCAGUUCGGAUUGGAGGCUGAAACUCGCCUCCAUGAAGUUGGAAUCGCUAGUAAUCGCAGAUCAGCAAGCUGCGGUGAAUACGUUCCCGGCUCUUGUACACACCGCCCGUCAAACCAUGAAAGUCACCAACACCCGAAGUCCGAUUCGUCGGCCUAAGGUGGGGGGGAUGAUUGGGGUUAAGUCGUAACAAGGUA
RNAcentral lists this ribosomal RNA (1463 nucleotides) under metagenome. RNAcentral's name for it is "bacterial SSU rRNA". It matches the Rfam family "Bacterial small subunit ribosomal RNA". The record is from RNAcentral.